Non-coding RNA from Python bivittatus (Burmese python), 3204 nucleotides. The record is from RefSeq and is a predicted model, not a curated record. Lineage: Eukaryota; Metazoa; Chordata; Lepidosauria; Squamata; Pythonidae.
AAGAGAAGGAACUAGUCUUAAUUUAAAGAAGGGGUAUUCUACAUGGCCAGAAUAGCAACUGAAAAAGAGCACCUCCAUUCCCCUUACUCCAUGAAGAGACUGCUGCAAACAGAUUUGUUAGAACUCAAGGAGAGAUGAUCUCAUGUUCCCUCCCUUAGAAGAAUGCUCAUGCAAAUGGAAUGUGUGCGUAGAUAUUUGGAACAUUUAACCUAAUAUGUCAGCAAUUCUGGUGCUGUCUGUAGGCAGUGACGGCUGGCACAUUUUAAUACCUCCCUGUUACACUGCUCAUACAUCAACUCAUCACAACAGGAGCUCUCACAGCAUGAAGCAUCUCUCCAAGGCACGGAUGAGUUGACCACAAGAAAUGAGUGAAGACUUCCCUUUACUACCACCACCUUCUUUAUCCCUGGUGUUUCUGCUGAAGUUUCAUGUGGAAAAAUGAUCUACAAAUAAAUGAUCUCAUUGGAAUCAUGGUGUUGAACAUGACCCCUGCUCAGUGAGAGAUCCACUAAAUCACCUCUGACAGAUGACCAUCCAGCUUCUAUUUGAAGACCUACAACAAAAGAGAACUCAUUACUCCUUGUGGUAUCCUGUUCCACUAUCUGAUAGCUCAUACACUUAGAACUUUCUUUCUUCCUGAGGUCUAGUUGAACCUCCUUCCUUAUAGUUUUAACCCAAGGGUCAUGGUUCUACCCUUUGGGACAAUAUAGAUUAAGUCUACCCCUUCUUCUGUCUGGCAGCCCUUCAGAUAUAUGAAGAUAAGCUAUUAUAUUUCCAUUCAGUUGUCUCUUCUGUAGGCUAAACAUGUCCAGUUCCUUUAGCUGUUCCUCAUAGGGGUAGGUUUCCAGACACGUCACCAUCUUGGUAGCCCUCCUAUGAACUUGUUCCAAUUUGUCAACUUUUUUUUUUUUUACUUGUGUCCAAAACCAGGCAAACUCCUCCAAAUGGGCAGAGUAAAGUAGAACAAUUAUUGCCCAUGAUCUGGACUCUAUGCUUCUGUAAAUGCAUCCCAUCUGUGCAUCCAUCUUAAAUUUGUGCAUCCAAAUAAUUUUCUUAUUUGGGAUUUUGCAUAAAUAGAUUCCUUUCCACAUAGCUCCUAAAUCAACCUGGAGCUCCCCUGGAUUCCAGUACUGACUUUCAGCCCCUUUCCUAACACCAUUCCUGCUCUAUUCUGAUUCCUAGCCCAUGUUUACAUGCCCAGAGUUCUCCUUUUCUUAAUUUUGAAUCACCUUCUUGCUUGAUUUUUCUGGAGAUCUGAGUUGCCUUAUAUUCCUAGAGAAAAAGCUUUACUGUCUGUAAGACAUCAAUUGAGACCAAAACCUGGUUGUCUAUGUAAUGAUGCAAUCAUCUGUGAGCAUCCUGCUUUCUUUCCCCCUAUUGAUGCUCCAUCCCAUCAGUUUGAGCCUUUGCUGCAUUGAUCAAGAAGAUCUGAAGAUUUCUAUUUGCGUUCAAAUUCAUAAGCAACGAGCUUGCUUUAUCUUGGUCCAGGAACAGGAGGAACAUUCUGCACAUUCUUAAUUUUCAUCUUCAUCUUGUUGCUUAAUAUAGCAGAGGCUCAAAUUGAGAGUUUUAAUAUAGCAGAGUCUCAUAUUGAGAGUUUUAAUAUAGCAGAGUCUCAAAAGCAAGCUUGGCUCUGUCAUCCUAUGCUGCUUUAAAUCCUUGUUUGUUCAGACAACCUCCUGAGAAGGCUAAGGUUUUCUCUAUAUGAGUUAUUGGUGCUACAAAGGUGCCUGACUCAAGUAAAAACAUGUUAGUCACAUGCUUAAUUUUGAGAGUAACUUUUUAGUUAGUUCCUCUCUCUUGCCACCACUCCCUUCUGCUUUAGGUUAUAUUAUAAUGUGCAUUCGAGUUUUGAAGAAAGACCCAUUUGAAAAUAUUCCAUUUAAAUCCAACUUUUGCAACUAAGUGGCCAGCAUAAUCACUAGUUAAUAUGACCCAGUAAUAGUGCCCCGAACACUUGAACCAUCAUCCAAUUUUGAAAGGGUAGCCAGAAGUUGGGAGAUCUAAGAGUGGUAUGAUGCGUGCCCACUCUCUUUUCCCGAAUAUAUGAGACCAGCAAGGAAUAGCAACUAUGGACAAGGUAAUUAUAACCUGUGAUGUUCCCUUUUCUUACAGAGAUAUACAGCUUUUUAAUGACCAAGAGAUAUAAUUUCUUUUAUUUCUUUUUUUUAAGUUUUUGCCUCCAAAGGCUGCCAGGUAUGGCCAGUGGUGUUAUGAUUUCAUUUUUGAGCAAUGUUUAAAAGCCUUUUGAGGAGAUGUUAAGGAGCAAAAUGGGUAUCUUAACCCUCGCAGCAGCUUAAGGUACUCAUUUCAGCCCUAAAUCACUGCCCCCGAAUGGAAAAAGUCAUCCUGGUUUUUGGAGAGAUGUUGAGGGUUUAAGGAAUGAAAUAUGUGCCUUAAGUUUCUGCAAGAAUUUCAAACCUGCCCCAACCACCAAAAAAGUUUUGAAAAUCAUGCAAUUACCCAUUGCAGUGAUGCAUUUGAGGCUUAGAAAGGGCACUGGGGUCCACUGGUUGCCUAUGCCAACUCUACGUCUAUUUAUUCUCCUGAGACCCUCAUUUUGACCAACAUCUUACUUUUCAGUCAUAAUUUCCCAUAACCAUGACAUGCCAUUUCUAUAGAGAAGCCUUCUUCUCUGGAUUUGAUAUAGAUGGAUUGCCUAUAUAUGAAGACAGUUAGAACUAGUAUGCUCUUCCACAUUCAAGGUCAGUUGUUAUAUAAUAAGCCAUUUCUCUUUCUUUGCAACAUGUAUGUUAAAAUAUCCAUUUUUGUUGACUUGAGUGGUUGAAUGAGCCAUUUUCCCCUACUUUAUACAGCAAUUCCAAACACUGUGACUUGGUUCACACAUAAUGUCAAGCCGUAAUUUGGUUUCUAACACCCCACUAGGUGUUAGAAGGAGUGUGGCACAAGACAUGGUAUAUGGAAAGGUGUUACAUGAUCCGGCACACCCAUUGUUUGGCCAAGUACCUCCCACAAAAAGAUGGAAAUCAAGGAGGAGCUUUUUAGAUUGCGCCAAGGAGAUUGCUACCACACCUCAAACAGAAUGAUCAAAAAGAUGGAAAUCCCAAGCAAAAUAUCUUUACAAUUGGAUAGAAGUGCUUGAAGAGUUGCCUGGAGGUUUGGAGGAGGAGUGGAUGGUGUGGAGAUGUUUAAAUAGACUGUGCACUGGUUUGGGUAGAACUAAAGAUCAAAUGGAAAAAUGGG